Molecule: ribosomal RNA, 369 nt
Filed under: Salmonella enterica subsp. enterica serovar Typhimurium
Lineage: Bacteria; Pseudomonadati; Pseudomonadota; Gammaproteobacteria; Enterobacterales; Enterobacteriaceae
Description: partial 23S ribosomal RNA
Rfam family: Bacterial large subunit ribosomal RNA
Source: RNAcentral
AGACCCGAAACCCGGUGAUCUAGCCAUGGGCAGGUUGAAGGUUGGGUAACACUAACUGGAGGACCGAACCGACUAAUGUUGAAAAAUUAGCGGAUGACCUGUGGCUGGGGGUGAAAGGCCAAUCAAACCGGGAGAUAGCUGGUUCUCCCCGAAAGCUAUUUAGGUAGCGCCUCGUGAAUUCAUCUCCGGGGGUAGAGCACUGUUUCGGCUAGGGGGCCAUCCCGGCUUACCAACCCGAUGCAAACUGCGAAUACCGGAGAAUGUUAUCACGGGAGACACACGGCGGGUGCUAACGUCCGUCGUGAAGAGGGAAACAACCCAGACCGCCAGCUAAGGUCCCAAAGUCAUGGUUAAGUGGGAAACGAUGUG